UCAGACGAUGCGUCAUGCAUAUCAAUAAGCGGAGGAAAAGAAACUAACAAGGAUUCCCCUAGUAACGGCGAGUGAAGCGGGAAGAGCUCAAAUUUGAAAUCUUCAAGGUUUUACCUUGACGAAUUGUAGUUUAAAGAAGUGUUUUCUGCUGAAGUUUUGGUAAAAGUUCUUUGGAAUAGGACAUCAUAGAGGGUGAGAAUCCCGUAUUUGACCAUUAUUUUCAGCUUUGUGAUACACUUUCAAAGAGUCGGAUUGUUUGGGAAUGCAGUCCAAAAUGGGUGGUAAAUUUCAUCUAAAGCUAAAUAUUGGCGAGAGACCGAUAGCGAACAAGUACCGUGAGGGAAAGAUGAAAAGAACUUUGAAAAGAGAGUUAAACAGUACGUGAAAUUGUCAAAAGGGAAGCGUUUGACACCAGUGUUGUUUUCUCGAAAAUCAAUUAAAGAUGGCUCGAUUUUGUAUUGUUUGAGACCUUAAAAGCUCACUGUACAUUUUUCGUGUCUUUUUUAAUGCACUUUUCGUUUAACAAGUCAACAUCAGUUUCUUUUGUUGUAAAAGGGUCAUUGGAAGGUGGCUUUCUUUUCGGAGAAAGUGUUUAUAGCCUUUGGCCUCUGCAAUCGGAGAGACUGAGGUCUGCAGCGUAGACUCUUCGGGGUUAGAUACAUUUGUGCUAAGUUAUAGCUUUUUAUAGACAACUUGUUGACUAUAAUUAGUCUUGUAGCUUACUCGCUUAUGCUAUUUUACCUACGCUUAGGAUGUUGACUGAUAUGUAGUCGUA
Molecule: ribosomal RNA, 775 nt
Filed under: uncultured Neocallimastigales
Lineage: Eukaryota; Fungi; Neocallimastigomycota; Neocallimastigomycetes; Neocallimastigales
Description: partial large subunit ribosomal RNA
Rfam family: Eukaryotic large subunit ribosomal RNA
Source: RNAcentral